Small nucleolar RNA from Piliocolobus tephrosceles (Ugandan red Colobus), 139 nucleotides. The record is from Ensembl. NCBI's taxonomy places the organism in Eukaryota, Metazoa, Chordata, Mammalia, Primates, Cercopithecidae.
AACCCCCUGUUCACUUUUUAAAAUGGAUUUAUGUCUUUAUUGCUCAUUAAUUGGGGCAAAGGAAAUAUCCUUUUAAAACUCAGGCAGGCCGGGCGCGGUGGCUCAAGCCUGUAAUCCCAGCACUUUGGGAGGCCGAGAC